RNAcentral lists this ribosomal RNA (253 nucleotides) under uncultured bacterium. RNAcentral's name for it is "partial 16S ribosomal RNA". It matches the Rfam family "Bacterial small subunit ribosomal RNA", at positions 524 to 776 of the family's 1533-position model. The record is from RNAcentral.
UACGUAGGCAGCAAGCGUUGUUCGGAGUUCCUGGGCGUAAAGGGUGUGUAGGCGGUUGGAUAAGUGUGGUGUGAAAUCUCCCGGCUUAACUGGGAGGGUGCGCUACAAACUGUCUGACUAGAGUGUGGGAUGGGUAAGUGGAAUUCCUGGUGUAGCGGUGAAAUGCGUAGAUAUCAGGAGGAACACCAAUAGCGAAGGCAGCUCGCUGGGACGUUACUGACACUGAGGCGCGAAAGCGUGGGGAGCGAACAGG